Molecule: small RNA, 133 nt
Filed under: Klebsiella pneumoniae
Lineage: Bacteria; Pseudomonadati; Pseudomonadota; Gammaproteobacteria; Enterobacterales; Enterobacteriaceae
Description: RtT RNA
Rfam family: RtT RNA
About the family: This family represents a bacterial cis-regulatory element known as RtT RNA.
Source: RNAcentral
UAUUCUGCCCUACAGGGAAGGAUGAGAAGCUUCGACUAAGGUUCGACUCGAGCGANAGCGAGAGAACGUUGCCGCAGGCAACGGCCCGAAGGGCGAGGCGCUUUAGCGCCGAGUAAUCCUUCCCCCACCACCA